AACGAACGCUGGCGGCAUGCCUAACACAUGCAAGUCGAACGAGAUCUUCGGGUCUAGUGGCGCACGGGUGCGUAACGCGUGGGAAUCUGCCCUUUGGUUCGGAAUAACAGUUGGAAACGACUGCUAAUACCGGAUGAUGACGAAAGUCCAAAGAUUUAUCGCCAGAGGAUGAGCCCGCGUAGGAUUAGCUAGUUGGUGUGGUAAAGGCGCACCAAGGCGACGAUCCGUAGCUGGUCUGAGAGGAUGAUCAACAACACUGGUACUGAGACACGGCCCAGACUCCGACGGGAGGCAGCGGUGGGGAAUAUUGGACAAUGGGCGAAAUCCUGAUCCAGCGACGCCGCGUGAGUGAUGCAGGCCUUAGGGUUGUAAAGCUCUUUUACCCGGGAUGAUAAUGACAGUACCGGGAGAAUAAGCUCCGGCUAACUCCGUGCCAGCCGCCGCAGUAA
This 449-nucleotide ribosomal RNA is filed under the name uncultured bacterium. Its description in RNAcentral is "partial 16S ribosomal RNA". It matches the Rfam family "Bacterial small subunit ribosomal RNA", at positions 29 to 523 of the family's 1533-position model. The record is from RNAcentral.